UGUUGGUAUCUUAGUGGCGGACGGGUGAGUAACGCGUGGGUAACCUGCCUUACACUGGGGGAUAACACUUAGAAAUAGGUGCUAAUACCGCAUAACAGGGAAAGAUGCAUGUCUUUUCCUUAAAAACUCCGGUGGUGUAAGAUGGACCCGCGUCUGAUUAGCUAGUUGGCGGGGUAACGGCCCACCAAGGCGACGAUCAGUAGCCGGCCUGAGAGGGUGAACGGCCACAUUGGGACUGAGACACGGCCCAAACUCCUACGGGAGGCAGCA
Molecule: ribosomal RNA, 270 nt
Filed under: uncultured bacterium
Lineage: Bacteria
Description: partial 16S ribosomal RNA
Rfam family: Bacterial small subunit ribosomal RNA
Source: RNAcentral